This is a long non-coding RNA of Camponotus floridanus (Florida carpenter ant), 947 nucleotides long. RefSeq lists it as uncharacterized. The transcript has 3 exons. Lineage: Eukaryota; Metazoa; Arthropoda; Insecta; Hymenoptera; Formicidae. The record is from RefSeq and is a predicted model, not a curated record.
AGUUCGAGGUAGGUCAUAUCUGAAAACAAUUCGUGUUAUGAGUUUUUUUCGAACGAUGCCAUUGUCGUGGUAUUACGUUACUCUUGCUAUAUAAACAUGUUUACAUACCGGCAAUAUAAUUCAAGCGUGUGAAUAUCGCGAUAUAUCUGUGGAUGAAUUUGCCCUUGAUUGACAGAACACACGCGACGAUCGACCCACGAGCAUCGAAAUUACGCGCAAUCCGCGAAUCCCGAAGAUACGAUUAAUUCGGCGGACGAUUCGCGAAAAAAAAGACGAGAUUGAUCUUUUUGUCGUCGAAUGACGAACGCGACUCCGCAAUCGAAAUCGACUACAACUACGUAGUUGCGCGGUACAGUCCGCGCCAUCUGUCACGAAACAGCGAACUAAUGUCAUUCGCGGAACUCGCGGCGUCAGUUUACCCAUUUACCACGCAUGGACGCGAUUUUGAAUAUAAUUUCGGUGAAACCAGCGAUGGACAGAAGGAUUCGGAUAAGUUGCUGACGACGUAAACUACAGUUCCAUCAAUGCAACAAAAUGCGAAUGUGUGUCAAAGGAAUGCAGCUACGUCACAGGAGCGCGAGUUUGAAACAGUAAAACCAACGAUCACAGAAAGAUGCAAGAAAGGAAACUGUUGAUAACAAAUCUAUAUUAAUUUCAUCAUCAAGUUGACGUGACGAAUUGCAGAGCUGAUUGAUUUCACACACAUCUAACAAAUUCAAUUACUGCGGAAAAUUAGAGAGCUUGAUAAUUUGGAGAAUCGAUUUUCGCCAAGUAUACAUAUGAUGAGGAAUCUUCGAUAAUAUCACCCGAUCGAUGAAACACGCUAUCAGCAACUGAUGAAUCUGCGCUUAUGCUUUCCCUUUUGCGUUCCUGACGGACGAUCGAGUGACCUACUUGUUAAUUGUCGACAGGCGGGUCUACGCUCUAAUUAACGGUAAAACCGAUAU